GUACAGGUGCUGCAUGGCUGUCGUCAGCUCGCGUUGUGAAAUGUUGGGUUAAGUCCCGCAACGAGCGCAACCCUUAUCCUUUGUUGCCAGCGGUCCGGCCGGGAACUCAAAGGAGACUGCCAGUGAUAGACUGGAGGAAGGUGGGAUGACGUCAAGUCAUCAUGGCCCUUACGACCAGGGCUACACACGUGCUACAAUGGCGCAUACAAAGAGAAGCGACCUCGCGAGAGCAAGCGGACCUCAUAAAGUGCGUCGUAGUCCGGAUUGGAGUCUGCAACUCGACUCCAUGAAGUCGGAAUCGCUAGUAAUCGUGGAUCAGAAUGCCACGGUGAAUACGUUCCCGGGCCUU
Molecule: ribosomal RNA, 349 nt
Filed under: uncultured Enterobacteriaceae bacterium
Lineage: Bacteria; Pseudomonadati; Pseudomonadota; Gammaproteobacteria; Enterobacterales; Enterobacteriaceae
Description: bacterial SSU rRNA
Rfam family: Bacterial small subunit ribosomal RNA
Source: RNAcentral